AUUCAUUAUGUCACCCGAUCGACAAUGUCGGGUGACAUAUUGCUUUUCCUCUGUUUCUUUUUCUGUAUUAUUAUUAUUAUACUUCCACCUAUUUUGUCCGGCAUGUUUUUUGGAGUGAAAUGGAACCAAUCUUAAUGAUAGUUCACUAUAAGGUGGAACAAAAAAUUUCGGGGUGCAGGUGGGUCUAAGACCUUAAAAAAUGGCUGCCGUUUCCAUGGAAACAGAAUAAUUGUGAAAAAUUCCAGUUUUUGGUUUUGGUGAAUAAUUUGGAGAUUCUUAAACUCAGAAUCAUCAUAUUUUGAUACAAUGUAGGUGCCAGCCAUAUACUGGUUUUGGAUGAUUUUGGCAAUCAUUGGAACUACUAUGUUGCCAUGGAAACUGCACCAAAAAUUUCAAAAAUAUCAAAAUGCUCCAAAUUUUUUGAAACUUCAUAGUAACGAUGAGCAACAUUGAUAGAUGUGCAAUUUGGCGUUGGAAUUUCGAAAAUGUCUGCUGUUACCAUGGAAACAAGUCGAAAAUGGUCAAAAUGCUUCAAAAACCUUAAAGUGGCAUUUACUUUCUUAAAAUGGUAGGUCAAAUCCAUUGAAACUUUGAUGGUAUGUUCCCUCCCAUGUACCAAUGUGGUAUCUGCCAUUAGAAAUUUGGAAUGGUAUCUGUUACCAUAGAAACCAGC
RNAcentral lists this long non-coding RNA (673 nucleotides) under Mytilus galloprovincialis (Mediterranean mussel). The record is from RNAcentral. Lineage: Eukaryota; Metazoa; Mollusca; Bivalvia; Mytilida; Mytilidae.